Molecule: ribosomal RNA, 2194 nt
Filed under: Escherichia coli
Lineage: Bacteria; Pseudomonadati; Pseudomonadota; Gammaproteobacteria; Enterobacterales; Enterobacteriaceae
Description: partial 23S ribosomal RNA
Rfam family: Bacterial large subunit ribosomal RNA
Source: RNAcentral
UUGUGAGGUUAAGCGACUAAGCGUACACGGUGGAUGCCCUGGCAGUCAGAGGCGAUGAAGGACGUGCUAAUCUGCGAUAAGCGUCGGUGAGGUGAUAUGAACCGUUAUAACCGGCGAUUUCCGAAUGGGGAAACCCAGUGUGUUUCGACACACUAUCAUUAACUGAAUCCAUAGGUUAAUGAGGCGAACCGGGGGAACUGAAACAUCUAAGUACCCCGAGGAAAAGAAAUCAACCGAGAUUCCCCCAGUAGCGGCGAGCGAACGGGGAGGAGCCCAGAGCCUGAAUCAGUGUGUGUGUUAGUGGAAGCGUCUGGAAAGGCGCGCGAUACAGGGUGACAGCCCCGUACACAAAAAUGCACAUGCUGUGAGCUCGAUGAGUAGGGCGGGACACGUGGUAUCCUGUCUGAAUAUGGGGGGACCAUCCUCCAAGGCUAAAUACUCCUGACUGACCGAUAGUGAACCAGUACCGUGAGGGAAAGGCGAAAAGAACCCCGGCGAGGGGAGUGAAAAAGAACCUGAAACCGUGUACGUACAAGCAGUGGGAGCCUCUUAAUGGGGUGACUGCGUACCUUUUGUAUAAUGGGUCAGCGACUUAUAUUCUGUAGCAAGGUUAACCGAAUAGGGGAGCCGAAGGGAAACCGAGUCUUAACUGGGCGUUAAGUUGCAGGGUAUAGACCCGAAACCCGGUGAUCUAGCCAUGGGCAGGUUGAAGGUUGGGUAACACUAACUGGAGGACCGAACCGACUAAUGUUGAAAAAUUAGCGGAUGACUUGUGGCUGGGGGUGAAAGGCCAAUCAAACCGGGAGAUAGCUGGUUCUCCCCGAAAGCUAUUUAGGUAGCGCCUCGUGAAUUCAUCUCCGGGGGUAGAGCACUGUUUCGGCAAGGGGGUCAUCCCGACUUACCAACCCGAUGCAAACUGCGAAUACCGGAGAAUGUUAUCACGGGAGACACACGGCGGGUGCUAACGUCCGUCGUGAAGAGGGAAACAACCCAGACCGCCAGCUAAGGUCCCAAAGUCAUGGUUAAGUGGGAAACGAUGUGGGAAGGCCCAGACAGCCAGGAUGUUGGCUUAGAAGCAGCCAUCAUUUAAAGAAAGCGUAAUAGCUCACUGGUCGAGUCGGCCUGCGCGGAAGAUGUAACGGGGCUAAACCAUGCACCGAAGCUGCGGCAGCGACGCUUAUGCGUUGUUGGGUAGGGGAGCGUUCUGUAAGCCUGUGAAGGUGGCCUGUGAGGGUUGCUGGAGGUAUCAGAAGUGCGAAUGCUGACAUAAGUAACGAUAAAGCGGGUGAAAAGCCCGCUCGCCGGAAGACCAAGGGUUCCUGUCCAACGUUAAUCGGGGCAGGGUGAGUCGACCCCUAAGGCGAGGCCGAAAGGCGUAGUCGAUGGGAAACAGGUUAAUAUUCCUGUACUUGGUGUUACUGCGAAGGGGGGACGGAGAAGGCUAUGUUGGCCGGGCGACGGUUGUCCCGGUUUAAGCGUGUAGGCUGGUUUUCCAGGCAAAUCCGGAAAACCAAGGCUGAGGCGUGAUGACGAGGCACUACGGUGCUGAAGCGACAAAUGCCCUGCUUCCAGGAAAAGCCUCUAAGCAUCAGGUAACAUCAAAUCGUACCCCAAACCGACACAGGUGGUCAGGUAGAGAAUACCAAGGCGCUUGAGAGAACUCGGGUGAAGGAACUAGGCAAAAUGGUGCCGUAACUUCGGGAGAAGGCACGCUGAUAUGUAGGUGAAGCGACUUGCUCGUGGAGCUGAAAUCAGUCGAAGAUACCAGCUGGCUGCAACUGUUUAUUAAAAACACAGCACUGUGCAAACACGAAAGUGGACGUAUACGGUGUGACGCCUGCCCGGUGCCGGAAGGUUAAUUGAUGGGGUUAGCGGUAACGCGAAGCUCUUGAUCGAAGCCCCGGUAAACGGCGGCCGUAACUAUAACGGUCCUAAGGUAGCGAAAUUCCUUGUCGGGUAAGUUCCGACCUGCACGAAUGGCGUAAUGAUGGCCAGGCUGUCUCCACCCGAGACUCAGUGAAAUUGAACUCGCUGUGAAGAUGCAGUGUACCCGCGGCAAGACGGAAAGACCCCGUGAACCUUUACUAUAGCUUGACACUGAACAUUGAGCCUUGAUGUGUAGGAUAGGUGGGAGGCUUUGAAGUGUGGACGCCAGUCUGCAUGGAGCCGACCUUGAAAUACCACCCUUUAAUGU